UGUGAGGGUGAUCUGGCUACGCCAUCUGUCACCUCAUUGAUGGCUGGCCAGGGUUGAUUUGGCUGACCUGGCUGGCUAGGUGGGUGUCCCCUCCCUCCCUCCCCACUCCAUGUGUGUCCCUCCUGAAGCCGCAUGCUUGGUUGAAGAGGACGACCUUCCCCUAUAGAAAGAGGACCGUCCUUUGGUUAAGGGUACUUGAGUAGCUGCCCCACCCCUGUCAGGCCCUCCAAACACGUCUCAAGGAAUACAUCCUCAACAAUAAAAAAGUCUGAGCUGCUCCUGGCAAGAGGAUUUU
RNAcentral lists this small nuclear RNA (295 nucleotides) under Echinops telfairi (small Madagascar hedgehog). Its description in RNAcentral is "7SK RNA (ENSETEG00000024672.1)". It matches the Rfam family "7SK RNA", at positions 4 to 261 of the family's 331-position model. From Rfam's summary of the family: 7SK was discovered as an abundant small nuclear RNA in the mid-70s but a possible function has only recently been suggested. Two independent studies have found that 7SK RNA binds the CDK9/cyclin T complex (known as elongation factor P-TEFb). Lineage: Eukaryota; Metazoa; Chordata; Mammalia; Afrosoricida; Tenrecidae. The record is from RNAcentral.